RNAcentral lists this ribosomal RNA (497 nucleotides) under uncultured bacterium. RNAcentral describes it as "partial 16S ribosomal RNA". It matches the Rfam family "Bacterial small subunit ribosomal RNA", at positions 28 to 507 of the family's 1533-position model. The record is from RNAcentral.
GGUGAACGCUGGCGGCGUGCCUAAUACAUGCAAGUCGAGCGAACGGACGAGAAGCUUGCUUCUCUGAUGUUAGCGGCGGACGGGUGAGUAACACGUGGAUAACCUACCUAUAAGACUGGGAUAACUUCGGGAAACCGGAGCUAAUACCGGAUAAUAUUUUGAACCGCAUGGUUCAAAAGUGAAAGACGGUCUUGCUGUCACUUAUAGAUGGAUCCGCGCUGCAUUAGCUAGUUGGUACGGUAACGGCUUACCAAGGCAACGAUGCAUAGCCGACCUGAGAGGGUGAUCGGCCACACGGGAACUGAGACACGGUCCAGACUCCUACGGGAGGCAGCAGUAGGGAAUCUUCCGCAAUGGGCGAAAGCCUGACGGAGCAACGCCGCGUGAGUGAUGAAGGUCUUCGGAUCGUAAAACUCUGUUAUUAGGGAAGAACAUAUGUGUAAGUAACUGUGCACAUAUUGACGGUACCUAAACAGAAAGCCACGGCUAACUACGUG